GAAAUGAUGCAAAAAACAAAUGUAAAUACAUAUUUUAUGUUUAUUGAUGAAGGUGGUCAUAAUAAUUUAGAAAGUUGUUAUGGUAGUCAUGUAAAUUUAGCUUUAAUAAAAUUUUUAUAUAUAUUACGAAAUAAUAUACGUGAGAAUGUAAAUACAGUGUAUGAUAUUAAUACAUUAAACUUAAAGAAACUGAGAACUGGUUUUAUAUUAAAUAAUACUAAGAAUAUAAAAGAGAAACUUAAAGAAAAGUCUAUAACAGAUAGUAAACAAACAACAAUGGAAAGUAUAAAUCACUUGUAUAAUGAUAGUUCAAAUGGUUCAUUUGCGAGUAAUUUUUUGGAAAAAUAUAGUAGUGAUAGUACGAUUCGUAAUUAUAGUAAGUACCAUAAUAACUAUGUUAGUGGAUAUGAUCACCCGCGCAGAAAUCAUAACACAGACAGGCAUAAUCAUACAAACAAGCACAAGCAUACGACAGAUCAUUAUGAUCAUAUAAAUAGUAUGAUCAGCAGUAGUGGUUAUAAUCAUAUGCCACCUAAUUAUAAUACUAGUAGGGGUCACAAGUUGGCUUGUAACUACUCAUCAAGUGAUAGCACAAUAUUAGAGUCAAUGGAAUCUGUUUUUAAAACGAUACCAGAUAAAACUUUUUAUGAAAGUGACAAUUCGAUUAACAUAGAGCAGUUGUACAAUUACAAAUCUGUUAAUAAUGGUGUUAGUGAUAGUACUAAUAAGUAUAACGAUAUAUAUACUAUGAAUUAUAGCAUGUUCAAACCAAUGAGGUAUGAUAAAGACACAAAGGAACGAGUGAUGUCUGAUGAUAAAGUUGUCGGUUAUAACAAGCAUGUGAGUAAUGGAAAUAACAAUAAGAAUGAUAAUAAUAAAAGUAGUAAAUGUAGUAAGAAUAAUAAUAAAAGUAAGAAUAAUAAUAAAUGUAAGGAAGCAGUUAUUGUAAGAACAGUUAGUGAUAGCAAUAACAAGAAUAGAAGCAGCAGCAAUGGAAAAUGUAACAUUACCACUACUAACAAUAAUAGUAGUAGUAAUGGUAAAUAUGAUAAAAUAAAAAUUAUAAAAAAUAAAGAUAGUUGCAAAUUCAAUUAUUCUGAUACAGCUAAUCAAAGUUAUAUAAAUGAAAAUGGUGUGAGUGAUAUUAAUAUAUCACAAAUUGCUAGCGGUACUGAUAAUACUAAUAAUAAAAAUAAGAAUAUAAUAACCCGAAUUAAUAAUACUAACAGUAAUAAUAAUAAUAACCAUUGGUUUAAAACAAAUUUGAAUCAACCAACAUCAAAUAUGAGUAAAAUGAAUAUGAAAAUGUAUCAAUUAAAAAGAAAUAGUUACAAUAUAAAUAAAAUACCAAAAUUUGUUUAUAACAUGAAUAAUAUGGUAAUC
Molecule: long non-coding RNA, 1383 nt
Filed under: Piliocolobus tephrosceles (Ugandan red Colobus)
Lineage: Eukaryota; Metazoa; Chordata; Mammalia; Primates; Cercopithecidae
Description: lncRNA (ENSPTEG00000017441.1)
Source: RNAcentral